RNAcentral lists this long non-coding RNA (1242 nucleotides) under Canis lupus familiaris (dog). RNAcentral describes it as "lncRNA (ENSCAFG00000053679.1)". Lineage: Eukaryota; Metazoa; Chordata; Mammalia; Carnivora; Canidae. The record is from RNAcentral.
UCUUCACUUGUCUUCCAACUCAGCUAUGAAAAUUUUACAGUGACAACACCCAUCACAUUAUUCUAAUGAUCUUACUAUCUCUGUGUGUCCAGCUCUCCUUGAAGAGAGAGCUGGGUUUUUGUUUUUGUUUUUUUUUCUAGAAAUCUCCAGCAUCCAGCACAGGGCCACCCAAAGUGUGUGCUCGUACAUAUUGAACAACGAACAGUACAAAUAAACAUGAGAUACGUGUCUGAGAGAAGACAGAAAAUUUGAAAGAGAUGAUGAGAAAAAUAGGCUUAAGGACAUUAAGGAAUUUGGAAAAGGUCACUUAUCUAGAAAAUUGAAGAAGGUGGGAAGUGGUUUUGUGUCAAGAUAUGAAGACUUAGUUCAAAAUGGAAAAAGAGUAAUGAUAAGGGUAGAGUUCCAGCUCCAGAAUACAGGAGAACACUAUUUGAAUUAGAAAGAACAAAGCAGAGACACCUGGGUGGCUCAGUGGUUGAAUAUCUGCCUUUGGGUCAGGGCGUGAUCCCCAGGCCCUGGGAUUGAGUUCUGCAUAAGGCUUCCGGCAGGGAGCUUGCUUCUUCCUCUGCCUGUGUCUUUGCCUCUCUCCAUGUCUCUCAUGAAUAAAUAAAAUAAAAAUCUUAAAAAAAAAAAAAAAAGAAGAAGAAAGAAAAAAGAAAAAAGAAAGAAAGAAAAAUAAACAAACAAACAAGCAUGGUCUGAGAUCACAGAAGUCUUGGAAGAUUGAAAGGCAUUCCCUGAAUCCUGUAAAAUGAGUUAAUUAUUAAUCCAAAUACUGACAUUCUUCACUAUCUAAGCAUUUCCUUUUAUGAUUGAAGACACUCUGUGAACAAGCGUGGAGGAGCAUAUGACAGGUGCCAAAAGACCAGAAAAGCACAAAUAGGCUAUGUUUUCACUAGAGAAGUCACCAUGAGGGUUGGGGAUUGAGGUUGUGGAAGAGGUUAGCACAGAUAAAUUCCAGAAGUUGUGAUGGGAUGACUCUGACAUCCAUCUUCAGUAUAAUUUUAUGCUUGAAUAUUGAACCAAUUAUUUUGGGGCUCUUAGUGAGGCAAGAUGGUUACUACUAGAAGCCAGUCCAUGUUCAAUAAGAAUUUCUCAUACCAAACUCACCUAAUGUAUUUUCCAGAGUAAAAAGACAAGUAGUAAAAUAAUUCUGUAUUUGAGAAAGGCAUGCAAGGAAAGGUCUGAUUUAAUGACUUGCUUAUUCAAGUUAACAUUUUACAAAUUCCAUUCAGUUUAAAA